Molecule: long non-coding RNA, 503 nt
Filed under: Sus scrofa (pig)
Lineage: Eukaryota; Metazoa; Chordata; Mammalia; Artiodactyla; Suidae
Description: lncRNA (ENSSSCG00050045271.1)
Source: RNAcentral
CACCGUAAUAGGCUCCGUGAUGCAGUAAAAUCACAAGCUAUCCAACGAUCUCCUCUAUCAUUCCUUCUCUGCAGGGGCUGUCCAUCCUCAAGGCCACCUCAUUGUCAUUGGUAGUCACUGCAGCUCCAGCCAUCAUGUCUCCAUGAAAGAUAGAAAGAUGUGUGCCAGCUGAAUUCUACCUCCCAGAAGCCUUACAUAAAACUUCCCCUCACAUCUCAUUGGCCACAACUGGCUCAUGCUAAGUAAGUGGCUUUGAAGAAGCAAGCUGCAAUAAAUCCUAUAGCUUCAAGAAAAUCAAUUCUCCUGACAAGCAGGAGCAGCUGCAGCAGCUGCACUUCCCUCUGGAGGAAACCAGCCUGGGAGAAGAAAGGCCCUAUAGAAUUAUCACGGACUAACACCAAGCAGAAAUAUGAACCUGCUCAAUGACUUUGUGCAUACAUGGCAAAAGUUCGAGUUUUACUUGUUUCUCAAUAUUUACAGAUAUUUUAAAGUAAUAAUUCUGA